Molecule: transfer RNA, 76 nt
Filed under: Flavobacterium sp.
Lineage: Bacteria; Pseudomonadati; Bacteroidota; Flavobacteriia; Flavobacteriales; Flavobacteriaceae
Also listed under: 30 other names
Description: tRNA-His
Rfam family: tRNA
About the family: Transfer RNA (tRNA) molecules are approximately 80 nucleotides in length. Their secondary structure includes four short double-helical elements and three loops (D, anti-codon, and T loops). Further hydrogen bonds mediate the characteristic L-shaped molecular structure. tRNAs have two regions of fundamental functional importance: the anti-codon, which is responsible for specific mRNA codon recognition, and the 3' end, to which the tRNAs corresponding amino acid is attached (by aminoacyl-tRNA synthetases). tRNAs cope with the degeneracy of the genetic code in two manners: having more than one tRNA (with a specific anti-codon) for a particular amino acid; and 'wobble' base-pairing, i.e. permitting non-standard base-pairing at the 3rd anti-codon position.
Source: RNAcentral
GUGAUUGUAGCUCAGUUGGUUAGAGCGUCGGAUUGUGGUUCCGAAGGUCGGGGGUUCGAGACCCCUCAUUCACCCA